This 468-nucleotide ribosomal RNA is filed under the name uncultured bacterium. Its description in RNAcentral is "partial 16S ribosomal RNA". It matches the Rfam family "Bacterial small subunit ribosomal RNA", at positions 36 to 507 of the family's 1533-position model. The record is from RNAcentral.
UCCUCCCUCUGGCGGCGUGCUUAACACAUGCAAGUCGAACGGACAGGCCCUGCUUUUGUGGGGUGCUCGAGUGGCGAACGGGUGAGUAACACGUGAGUAACCUGCCCUUGACUUUGGGAUAACUUCAGGAAACUGGGGCUAAUACCGGAUAGGAGCUCCUGCUGCAUGGUGGGGGUUGGAAAGUUUCGGCGGUUGGGGAUGGACUCGCGGCUUAUCAGCUUGUUGGUGGGGUAGUGGCUUACCAAGGCUUUGACGGGUAGCCGGCCUGAGAGGGUGACCGGCCACAUUGGGACUGAGAUACGGCCCAGACUCCUACGGGAGGCAGCAGUGGAGAAUAUUGCACAAUGGGCGGAAGCCUGAUGCAGCGACGCCGCGUGCGGAAUGACGGCCUUCGGGUUGUAAACCGCUUUCGCCUGUGACGAAGCGUGAUUGACGGUAAUGGGUAAAAAAGCACCGGCUAACUACGUG